This 253-nucleotide ribosomal RNA is filed under the name uncultured bacterium. RNAcentral describes it as "partial 16S ribosomal RNA". It matches the Rfam family "Bacterial small subunit ribosomal RNA", at positions 524 to 776 of the family's 1533-position model. The record is from RNAcentral.
UACGAAGGGGGCUAGCGUUGCUCGGAAUCACUGGGCGUAAAGCGCACGUAGGCGGAUUGCUAAGUCAGGGGUGAAAUCCUGGAGCUCAACUCCAGAACUGCCCUUGAUACUGGCGGUCUCGAGUCCGGGAGAGGUGAGUGGAACUGCGAGUGUAGAGGUGAAAUUCGUAGAUAUUCGCAAGAACACCAGUGGCGAAGGCGACUCACUGGCCCGAUACUGACGCUGAGGCACGAAAGCGUGGGGAGCAAACAGG